GUGCUCACUUCAACAGCACACAUAUUAUAAUUUGAACUAUACAGAGAAGAUUAGCAUGGCCCCUGUACAAGGCUGACAUGCAAAUUCAUGAAGCAUUCCAUAUUUUU
This 107-nucleotide small nuclear RNA is filed under the name Sciurus vulgaris (Eurasian red squirrel). The record is from RNAcentral. Lineage: Eukaryota; Metazoa; Chordata; Mammalia; Rodentia; Sciuridae.